This 495-nucleotide ribosomal RNA is filed under the name uncultured Glomus. RNAcentral's name for it is "SSU rRNA". It matches the Rfam family "Eukaryotic small subunit ribosomal RNA", at positions 569 to 1071 of the family's 1831-position model. Lineage: Eukaryota; Fungi; Glomeromycota; Glomeromycetes; Glomerales; Glomeraceae. The record is from RNAcentral.
AGCAGCCGCGGUAAUUCCAGCUCCAAUAGCGUAUAUUAAAGUUGUUGCAGUUAAAAAGCUCGUAGUUGAAUUUCGGAAUCAAUAUGUUGGUCGUGCCUCGGUACGUACUAGCUUAUUGGUUUCUCCUUUCUGAAGAACCAUGAUGUCAUUUAUUUGGUGUCGUGGGGAAUCAGGACUGUUACUUUGAAAAAUUAGAGUGUUUAAAGCAGGCUCACGCUUGAAUACAUUAGCAUGGAAUAAUGAAGUAGGACGUUUGAUUCUAUUUUGUUGGUUUCUAGGAUCGACGUAAUGAUUAAUAGGGAUAGUUGGGGGCAUUAGUAUUCAAUUGUCAGAGGUGAAAUUCUUGGAUUUAUUGAAGACUAACUACUGCGAAAGCAUUUGCCAAGGAUGUUUUCAUUAAUCAAGAACGAAAGUUAGGGGAUCGAAGACGAUCAGAUACCGUCGUAGUCUUAACCAUAAACUAUGCCGACUAGGGAUCGGAUGAUGUAAUUUUUA